RNAcentral lists this long non-coding RNA (2539 nucleotides) under Solanum tuberosum (potato). RNAcentral's name for it is "long non-coding RNA (STUB_LNC008191)". Lineage: Eukaryota; Viridiplantae; Streptophyta; Magnoliopsida; Solanales; Solanaceae. The record is from RNAcentral.
AAUCCGCUAAUAUCAUUCAAUUAGAUUCUUAACUCAACAAUGUUAAUCCUCAUAUGGAUAUUUGAUACAAGUUUUCUUGUUGUGAUCCUCUAUAGGCUAUAUCACAUUUUCUACAAUUUACUUUAGAUCUCUUGAUUAUUUUUUUCUCAAUUGGUAUAUGCGGCACAUAUCACUCCUUCAAUCUUGAAAUCCACAUACCAUCCUGCAAUAGAUUUCAAAAAAAAAAUUAAAGAACCUACUAAACAACAGUUAUAACAAUCAAAUUUGAAAUAUACAAUCAUAUUUUUUUUAUAUCACCAAAAAAAGGUUAUAUACGAAAUGAUGUAUAAUAUGGUUAAAAACUUUAUUGUUUAUGCACACUAUCAAUUACACCUAUUAAUCUACCAAAUUUUUUGUAUUAAACUUUAUUGUUUAUGCACCAAUUAAAAAAGACCAUCAUUUUCACCAAUUAAUUUACUAAAACAUAUUCACCAUAUAUGAAUCUUAUAAUAAAUCACACACCCUACAAAUUAAAUCAAAGAAUAACUAUCAAAAAACACGGAAUUGGUGAUUAAUAACAACGUAAAUUACACGAUCAAUUACACCACUCAAUAUAGCCAAAUUCAAACGCCUUAAUUCAUAUUGUAACACAAAAAAAUAUAUACACAACACAAUAGAUUACAAGAUAACGAUCAUGAAAAAAAACUAAAUAUAAUUAAUAAAAUCACUUCAAAAAACACCAAUUCAAUCGUGAUUUAUCAGAAUUACCUGAUGCGUCCCAUCAUCCGUUGUGUUGAAUUAGGAUUGAAAAAUUCUUGGUAUCCAUGAUUGAACAGUCGACCAAAAUGAGUAGAAAGAGAGUUUUAUUUUUGUUAAAAAAAAAACCUUUUUAAGAUGGGAGAGAAUAUAUAACUAAUUUGAGUAAAUCGUGGAAGGUAAAAGAAUUGGAGGAAAUCAAGGAAUCUGAGUAAAUCGUGGUUGACUAUUUCUAUUUUUUUUUUCCUAUUUCAACGAAUUUUUCCCUAUAUCUACGGGUUUUUUUCUAUAUUAAAUCCUAUUUUUGAAAAAAAAAAACUAUUGCUAUGUAGACGGAAAAAAAAACUAUUGCUAUACAGUUUUUUUUCCUAAAAUAUAUAUUUCUUAUUCUGCUUAUUUAUUUUAUAAUAAAACAUCACUAACACAUAUAACCAAUUUUAUUUUAAUUUACUUUGUUUUAGCUCUUAUUAAAGAUAUAUCAUGAUUUUCAAAAAGAUUUUCAAAAAAAUAAAGAUAAAGAUUGACAAUGUAACGAUAAAAUAGAAAUUUAAAAUUAUCAUUUGACAUGAGGGAAGAAUAUCUAUUAUGCAAAGUUGGGGGUUUAAAGGAUUUUGAUCCUUUAUUUAACUGAACAAAAAGUGACUCAUUAUACGUACUCCAUAUCGUUAGAUUAGUGCAAGUCAUGUUCACUUGCAACGACUUGUUAAUAUUUAUUCAAGUAAUUAAACAAGAUUAAAGUAAUAGUUAAACAAAUUGAUUUCCUCGAUAUCUAACAAGAAUGUAUCUGGUAUUCAGACAUUUAAUGUACUGUUAAACAUUUUGCUUCUAAACCGUUAAUAUAAUAUUUUUGUAUUGAAAUAAGAAAUUUAUAUACAUGAAGAACUCAGGAAUGAACGUGUGUCAUACAAUAUCACAAAAAAAUAUCUAUGAUGAUUCCAUUAAUAUAGUGCUUGAAUCCAAGACUAAUUGGUUAACUUGACCUCGACUCGCUAAUGAGAUAACUAUAUGGUUCUUAUUCAAGAAAAGGCUGAAACUCGUGGCGCGAAAUUAGUAAAAAGCUCAUGUUUUAAAGAUAGAACAAAAAGACAGAUGCACAAGAUAUAUCUAUAUGAGAUUAUGCAAAAUUACAUAAGAAAAUUAGUUGACACGCAUAAUGAUAAAAAACAACUAGUAGAGGUGCGUAUUGGUACGUGAAAAAAGUUGAUUUCCAAUUAAAUGCCUAGACUGCCCAAUUACUCACGCAAGGAAAAAGAAAAGAACACUACGGUGAUCUUAUCAAAAGGGUUAAAGACAAGCUUCAAACUUGAAAAGGUAAUAUGUUUAUCUUUUGGAGGCAAAGAGGGUAUUGUUUCAACAGUGUAUUACAAAGCAUUCACAUUCAUGUGCUUUCUGUCAGUCCCUCCUAAAUGUGUAAUAAGGGAGCUGGACAGAACUUUUGUUAAGUUCUUCAAGGUAAAAAUAAUUCGGACAGAAGUAACAUUUGGCAUCCUGAGAGAAGUUGUCUUCCUAAACAUAGAGGGGUUAGGUUUCAGAUUUUUAUUGGAAGAUUCUAAAGUUUUGUAUGCAAAUUGUGGUGAAGAUUAGAACUUGUGGUCUAACUAUUUCUAAAAUAAAUAUUACAAAAAGCAAAUUCCAACAAUGGUGCAAUAGCAAGGAAGUCCACAAGCACAUUAUGCUAGAGAGUAGAAUAAUUGUACAAACUGUGUUAUAGGAACCAAAAGAGGUACCUCUAGCAUUUGGUAUGAUAACUGGACAAUGUUUGAUCCUUCAUAUCUUCUCCAAUCAGAUACCCAAACUUGUCAUC